CCAGUUAGCUCAGUCAGUUGAGCAUAGCGCUAACAACGAUAAAGUUGCGGGUUCGAUUCCCGUAGUGG
RNAcentral lists this transfer RNA (68 nucleotides) under Apaloderma vittatum (bar-tailed trogon). It matches the Rfam family "tRNA". Rfam says of the family: Transfer RNA (tRNA) molecules are approximately 80 nucleotides in length. The record is from Rfam by way of RNAcentral. Lineage: Eukaryota; Metazoa; Chordata; Aves; Trogoniformes; Trogonidae.